Molecule: long non-coding RNA, 7968 nt
Filed under: Cricetulus griseus (Chinese hamster)
Lineage: Eukaryota; Metazoa; Chordata; Mammalia; Rodentia; Cricetidae
Description: lncRNA (ENSCGRG00015037685.1)
Source: RNAcentral
CGGAACAUAUGCCCCUGCUUAUAUACAAGCAGGAAAUUGCUCUCUUUCUUCUACUCUCUUCUCUGGAGCCACCAUGUGAGCGUGCUGCUGGCAUCCUGGAUCAGAUAAGUCUUUAUAAAAUAUAUAGAAUAAUAAUUAUGGUUGAUACUUAAGUCAGAGAUAGCAGAUAAGAAAUCCCAGUCAUUGGCCAGCAGCAUUGUACCUAAUUCACCCAGUUGAUAAGACAACAUGACAGCAGCCCAAAGAAGAUGAACCCAUACAUCUUUGAUCUUUUGAUAUGACGUCUACAGAAGUCAAAGGAUGCGCUGGUCUUUGAAAGUCGCAGACUGUCCAAUGUGUAAAAGACCAUGUUCCUUGGAGUCUAAGAAGGCUGGAUCAAACUGAAGGGAAGACUGGGGACCAAAAGAAGAUAAAACAUGGUCUCAGAACUUGAUCAUGUAGCAUACACAAGCUGCUACCACAAUUCAGAGGUUCAUUUGACAACCAGUUGUUAGAAGUCUUUUCUUCUCACAGAGUUGUUAUGUAGCAAUUAGAUGGCUUCCUGGUACCUAAUAAUUAGUCAACAGAUGUUUGGAUGCUGGAAGUUCAGGUUAAAUGUGAAGCAACAUGCUGAGAUCCCCACCUUGCAGACUCUCCCAGAGACUGCUCCCUGGUGUCUCCUCCAUGCGCCCACAUCUUCUCCAUGAGUCGUACUACUUGGGAUGGAAUGCAAUCCUUAGUCACUUGUACUUUUGAAGGCAGGGUUUAAGUGACUCCGACAGACCGAAGAUAAAUGAUUAACAGGUAUUUAUUAGGGAAGCACUUACACAAUUAAUAGUAAAUAACCACCGUGGUCUUCCUGCUCCUGAAGGUGCAGUCUCUGCCCUUCUGGAGUUCCUACUACCACCCAAGAGAGUGAGUCAGCCCUUCCUCUUCCAUAUAAGGGGUCAUGUCUGCACACCUGAAGCCAGGCCCCUAGGAUGUGGCCACUACCACAAGUCCCACUGGAGAAGGAAGAUGCCACUAUAUACUUUUCCGAAAAAAAUAAAAGGAUUGAAAAUGUCUCUGCCCGUUAAGAAAUAUGAGGGUACUGAGUAAGAAAUUUGCUUCUCAAAUAUAGGAAGUAAGAAUUGUGAGGAAUGAAGGAAGGCUGUUCUCCUAAGACAGAAAGGUGGAACAAGGGGGAAACAAAAGGAAACUGCAUCAGAGUGGAGGAAAAAGUCAGGCCAUGAGCCUGGUGGUAGAUAUUAGGAGGAAAUGCAGAAUCCCAGCUACUAGCUCUUGACUGAACUAACAUUGGCUAGGCAGAAGGGUGGCAUCCAUGCUAUAUACUAAAAAAAAAAUGGAGCAGUUUAUAUCCUGUUGCCAAGCUUUUCUUACUCUCAUGUAAAGUGUGAGGCAGAAUAAAAGAUCUGGACAGUUGGUGUGAAAUAGAAUGAUUGGAUCUGAAGUUACCAGUGAGCAUUUUAGAGUCAAAAAGGUCAAGAGGUCCAAGUAGACAGGACUCAAGUCUCACCCAAUCCUCAGUCUGUGCUUCACCUUUUAGUUUAUUCGCUCACUCACUAUGUCACUAGACCUUCGUUGAAUAUCUGUUACGCUCUAAGUAUCGCUAAUAUUGCGUAGAUCUCCGAUUAGUAUCAAAGUAGGAUGAUACUGUUUUAGAUUAAAACCAUCACGCAGGACCAGGGGAGAUGCUUCAGAGGGUAAAAGCACUUGCCAUGCAAGCCUAACAAUCUGGGUUCACACCCCCAGAACAGGCCGGAAAAAGCCAAAUGUGGUGGCAAGCAGCUGCAAUCCAUUCAGUGAGAUAGGAGGUAGGGUCAGGAGAAUUAGCCCAGAGCUCAUGGUCCCCCUAUCCUAGAACAAGCAGCAGGGCCGUGGAAACAAAGGGGACCCUGUCUCAACAGCUGGAAGAUGAGAAGCAACUCCAGAAAAGUUGUCCUUUGAACUCCACACUCUGGCACGUCAUACACGGCCACUCACACAAUUAAUUAAUAAAGUUUUUUUAAACUAAAAAAUAACAUGGAAUAUAGGCAGAAUGUAAAAAGAGAACACUCACAAAACCCUAUUAAAGAGCGUUCAAGGAACUGAUAAUUUAGAGUUACUAAAGGAAGAGCAUUCGUUUAUAAUUUCUAGGUGUGGUGACAUAUUAUUUAUGAUUUAUUAGAGCUUGCCUGAGGGUUUAGAAUGCAAAGCUAGCCACAAGCCAGAGAGGUCAGGCAAUGGUGAUACACUCCUUUAAUCCCAGCAGACAUACUAGCAAGCCAUAGAGGCAGGCAGUGGUGGCACACAGCUUUAAUCCCAGGACUCAGGAGGCAGGCAAAUAAAACUGAGUUGAAGACCACACUGACCUACACAAGAGUGAAGAGUAACAGAGCACACACCUUUAAUCCCAACACUAGGGAGGUACAGACAGGGGUGAUAUGGCUGGGAAGAGAAAGGGAUAAAAGGAGGAGGAGACAGGAACUCGGAUCUUUUGCCUGUGAGGAUUCAUGGAGACAGGAUUUUCAUUUCAGCUGGGCAGAGGUAAGACCUACAGGCUUGACACUUUGCUUCUCUGAACUUCAUCCCGAAGCUUGAACCCCAAUAUCUGUCUAUGGGUUUUUAUUAUUUGUGUUACAUCUAGGUGAUCUGGAUAUGGGAAUGGAUAUGUCUUUAAUCCCAGCACUCAGCAGACAGAGACAGGCAGAGCUCUGUUAGUACAAGGCCCGCUUGGUAUAUAUACAUAGUGAGUUCCAGGACAACCAGGGCUAUGGAGAAAGACACUGUCUCAAAAAAAAAAAAUACAGUAAAAUAAAAUAAUUUCCAGGAAUAAUAGGGUUGAAAGACUGUAAGAGCCAGAAUACCAGGAAAUCAGCUGUGGAUCAGGCCCUCCUAGAAAUGGUCAGGUAAACAUGGCCAGAACAAUGGUAAUAUCUAUAGAUAUAUUAACAUGGGAAGGGAGAAGUUUCAUUCUCUCCCAUCCCUAGAAAAAGAAAUACAGGCAGCUAAUGACUGCCAGGGGAAGGAGAAUGUGCCCCUCCCCGGGAUGAGCACCCUUUUGUGUUGUCUAUUGCAGCGCCAUCAGUCUGGAAACUACACGCAAUCAUAAAAUUGGACUCGGAAGGUUUUAUUUAUAUAUUUGUGCAUAUACAUAUAUGUUUGUGUGUGCAUUACAUAUGUGUGUGUUUGUGUGCGUGUGUGUGUAUAGCAAUACUGAUCAAAGAAAAAGAGUAGUAUGAGAGUAGGGGCAUGGAAGGUAUUGGAGGGAAGAAAGGAGGUAUAAAAUUAUGUAAUUAUAUUUCAACUGAAAAUAUUUUAAAAAAUAAAAUAAAAUGUCUGGGUUAGACAAGGUGCUUGCUCCUCUGCCCUUGGGAGUGACACAGCCUUGAAAUCAGAAACAGAUUUUUGCCUUUGCAAGCUACUUUAAAACAUACUUUUCUAGGUUAGACCUAAGACUAGUAACCUAGACUCCACAAUUAAACUUUCCACUAGACAGAAGUUAUUUGCAUCUCUUUUAGACAAGAAUAAACACCUUAAAUUAAAAUGUAAUGCCACAGAACUGGAGCCUUAACGUAGAGUAUGCUGGAUAGCUAGCUGACAGAGGCAUGCUCAAAGUUCAUAAACUGUGGGUCAAUUGGUUGCCCUAUGUUUUGGGGCUCUAAAAGGACAUGCUAUUUACAUCACUAUUUUUAAUAUGAAGGAACUGGAAAUAGUUUCUCUUGGGUUUUCUGUCACAGCUAAUUUCCCCACAACUCCAGGAAAAUACAUAAAGGACUAGAGAAUUUUAUACUAUGUAUUAAUUUAUACUUAUAAGUUGAUUGGACAUUUAUUUCAUUUCACUCUCAUGCAACUGAACAAAUUAGUUGUUACUAGACAAAGUUUAGAUGUUUGGGCCUGAAAGACAGCUCUGUAGUUAAGAGUACUGGCUGCUCUUCCAGAGGACAAGGGUUCGACUCGCAGCACCCGUAUGUUGACUCACAACUAUUUGUAACUCCAGUUCCAGGGUCUCUGAUGCCCUUUUCUGGCCUCUGCAGGCACCAUACAAACAUACAGGCAAAACACCCAUACACAUAAAAUAAGAAUAGAAUUUCUUUUUUUUUUUUUUGAUUGAGAGUUAAAAACAUUAUUUGCAUGUCUAUUUUUAACCUAUAUUCCUCUUUAUUUGAGCCACAUGGCCACUAAGGAAUUAAGGAAAUCCAGGUGUGUGUGUGUGUGUGUGUGUGUGUGUAUGUGUGUGUGUGUGUGUGUGUGUCCUCAUGUGUGCCAGCGUCCAUAUUCACGUAUGCACUCAUGGGCACCCAUGCCUUUCACUCCCUGGUUAAUACCAUAAUAAUUAUUGAGUAGUGUCUGUAUUCUCGCUCAUCUUUCCAGCCCUGGCAGGAGGGAAACACCUCUCCUUUCACACAACCCCCACUCUGGAGGGCUCCUGACCUUCAGUCGAGUCAGGCCCUAUCGCAGACAUUCCUGCAAUAAAUAAUUGAUUGCACACUAAGAGGGUUCCUUUCCUUUUUGUAUUAAGACGUGCUCCUCUUUCUGCCCUUGAAGACCCCGGAUGUCUGCCCUUCUUUUUUUCCCGAUUCUCUGCCGUGUCUUAUUCUUUCUAGCCCUUUCCUCCCAAUGCUCUUUUAUCCCCGAAUAAGAACUGCAGAGCUUCCCAUGUAAGUGUGAUGGAUAAUCUCGCAUACGCUGCUCAAAGGUUUCAGAUGCCCAAAAGACAGCAGCCUCUCUUGUGAAACCCGAGCCAGGAGCCUUUCAAGUGGACUGUUCCAUCAAAGCCUCUCUCCACCCGCAACAGGUUCAGGAUGGCCCUGGGUGGGACCGGCAGCCUGGCUUGAGCUUGGCCUUCAUUUAGGAUACAUGACUGGAAGGUGUUCCUUAUUGCAAAAUAGCAUCGCUCUACCCAGGAUGAACACAAUCCACAUGGGCCUUCUUGGGUUUUUUGUUUGUUUGUUUGUUUGUUUGUUUGUUUUUCAGAGUGAAUAUCCUUUAAAUAGAAACCUUUUAGAUUGGAUUUAAGGCCUGCAGCACAGGCAGAAAUGUACACCCGGUCUCAGAAACCUGACCAAUCCCCCGUGACAAGAGACGGGGGAGAACCCACUACUGCGGUUUCCCUGAGGCGGCAUGACGUCACCUGUCUUCUAAUCUGAAUGCUUAUCUAUAUACCCAUAAGUCAGUGCAAUCCUCACGCCUCAUUGGAAAAGCCUAUUAUUGCAAUGGACAGUGGUUGACACAGAGACUCACAACCAAUCCGGGAGUGUAAAGGAUAGGUGACUGUAGAGUGGUCAGCUCUCAAAGAACAAGUACAUCACCCCUCCCCCAAGGCUCAGGGAACUGAGAAAGAGGGAGCAGGAAGAUUGUAAGAACCAGAGGCUGGGAAGGACUGGAGCAAAACGGUGUUUUCUGGACGUGGCUGGGCCAUUAUGUCCAUGAAGUUGUCAAAGCAGCGAUGGACUCCUCAACAAGCCAUGCAGAAGAGUAGGGCAGUUAGUAUCCCAGCAUGGAUGGAGAAGGGGAUUCCCAGGCCUCAUCCCAAAGUGAAAGGACUUGACAAUUGAUGGCAUCUGGAGGAUGGAGAUUGAGCUUUCUUCAAGGAUGUGUCCGGAAGGGUGCCGAUGUUUCAGUGGAUGGCCUACACUCGUGUAUACAUUGGCAGCGAUAGCUGGACACAACAGGUUACAAAAGAACCUGCAAAAAAAAAAAAAAAAAAAAAAAAAGAUGAGGAUAUGAAAUUGAGCAGGGAGUUGGGAAGGGGAAUCUGGGAGAAGCCAGAUGAAGGCAUGGGGUGGAGAUGAUCAAAAUACAUUAUACACGUGUGUGAACUUCUCAAAACAACAGGUAAAUAAGAUUAAAGUAACCCGCCAUGCAACUCCACCACUGGUCCAGGUAUGGGAGGUUCCCCGGAUAUUCAACAAUCAAAAAUGUUAAAACAACCAUUUCUUUAGGGCUUAUGUUAACCUGUUUUCAAGUUAUAGUAAAACCCUGGUGUGGAGAACUACAUAAAAGAGGAGAAAGCCUACGAGGAGAAGUUUUGUGUGACUGAGCAAUGGUUAAGCAGUAGACUGCAGCAAUCUUUACCUACUGGAGCAGUGAGGACUAUUCAUAAUCACGUGUUUAAUUCUUCCUACAGUCUUCUGCCUGUGGAUGACAUUACACCUGCGCCAUUGUGAAAGACCCCCGGAAGGCCCAGGCCCCCAGGAUCUCGGUCCAGGACUGUGGUCACCCCAAUCACCAGGCUGAGUCAGAAGCUUGAUGCAAACUGCAUGAGGCUUUAUUAUAGUUGUUUAACGAGCUAACGCUCGAGUCUUUCAUCCACCCGCCAUGGUGGAUGGCUAGAAAAGACUCUGCAAAGCCACAGCAUAGAGAUCUUAUAGGGCAGCAUAAGGGGAGUGUCUAGGGGUACGCACAGGCUCAGGAUUGGUGUGCCUCCAGGCUUGGAGGGUUUGCCCUGGGUUGAUUGGUCAACUGGUUGUUAUGGCCCAUAGGCCCUCCCAGGGCGGUUGCUAUGCUCUGCACGUCAUUGCUGUGCAAUUGUCCGUAAAGCACACCCAGAGCAGUAAAGCCAUAAAGCAUAGCACCACCAGCUAACUUCUGAUUGGUUCCUUGCCACGAGGCAGGCAUCUGACCUCCCUGAUCAGACACACACGUGUUCGGCUGUUAUGGCUGCUGAAAUGGGGAGCUUGUCCCUUCAAUUGCUACUGAAAUUGUCACAGCCCAAAGCCCUAGGAGCCAUAGUGAGCUAGACUGGGCCAUCAGUUAGUCUUCUGUAGGCCAAUAAAAGACAAAAAUCCUGGUGAGAAGCACCGAAAGGAGUUUCAUUCAAUGUUACCACACUAGGAGGAGGAGCAAAGCGUUCUAAGCCUCUCUCCUCCCCCACCCCCUUUGUGAUCCUGAGGGGAGGUUUAACUUUAAAUAGGAAGCAUGAGGAAUGUAUAGUUAAGCAAGGUCAAAAUGUGGUCCCAUCCAUCAUCAUUGCCUGAGCCCCAUUUUUUCUUGCAAGAUGGUCUGAGAAACUGUAAGAAAUGCAUGGAAUCUUCUCUUGAAAGACUGAUAUCCCCUCAAGCUGGCAGCAGCCUUCAGACUUUUCCUUCUCCCAGCAUGAGAUUUCCAGGUAAAUUCCAAGUCCUUUGGAACCAUUGUUUUAAUAUACUCACAACCACAGUGGGGGGGGGCACAAGUUUCUUCUGUAAAAUAUCUUCAUUCUUAUCAAGAUUCUUAUACCAUGAUACUCAAAUGAAAGAAAUCCAGCCAUAGCCCAAGAGAAAAGAGGAGGGAAAGAAGUCCAUGAUUUUUCUCAAUCCCUGAAAGGCUUAAGAACACUCCACUGCCAAACAUUUUCUCCUCCACACACCCCAGAGCAGUGUUUCUGAACCUUCUGAAUGCUGUGACCCUUUAAUACAGUUCUUCAUGCUGUGUGACCUCCAACCACACAAUUGUUUUUUUGUUCCUCCCUCUCUUUGCCUGGAUUCCCAGGGCUCAGCCUUGUUCAUGAUUGUGGAUUUCUACACCUGUCUCCAUCAAUUACUAGCUGAAGGCUCUAUGAAGAUAGUAGGGGUGUUCAUCAAUCUGAUUACAGAGGCAGGCCAGUUCAGGCAUCCUCUCCACUAUUGGUAGUCUUAGCUGGGGUCCUCCUUGUGGAUUCCAUAUAUGAGCAAGUCAGGUCAAGACCAUGAUUGAGAGAUCUACAGAGACAGCCAAACCAAGCUGGUGGACACUCAUGGACACUAGACCUACAGCCGUGGAGACUCCAGGGGAUUGAACUAAGCCCUCCACAUGUGGGAGACAGGUGUGAAGCUUGGAGUAGCUGAGGGGUCCCUGGCAGUAGGACCACAAUAUAAUCCCAGUACAUGAGCUAGCUUGUUGGAGCCCACUCCCUAUGGUGGGACGCUAUGCUCAGUCUUAAUGCAUGGGAGAGGAACUGGGCUCUGCCCCAACCAUUGUGUCAGACUGUGUUGACUCCUCACGGGAACCCUUACCUGUAAGGAGGAGUGGACUGGGGGUAGGCUGGGG